AACGAACGCUGGCGGCAGGCCUAACACAUGCAAGUCGAACGCCCCGCAAGGGGAGUGGCAGACGGGUGAGUAACGCGUGGGAACCUACCUUUCGGUGCGGAAUAACUUCGGGAAACCAAAGCUAAUACCGCAUACGCCCUACGGGGGAAAGAUUUAUCGCCGAUAGAUGGGCCCGCGUCGGAUUAGCUAGUUGGUGAGGUAAUGGCUCACCAAGGCUACGAUCCGUAGCUGGUCUGAGAGGAUGAUCAGCCACACUGGGACUGAGACACGGCCCCACCUCCUAAGGGAGGGCGCAGUGGGGGAUUUUGGACAAAGGGGACAAACCUUAUCCAGCCAUGCCAAGGGAGUGGAGAAGGCCUUUGGGGUGUAAAGCUCUUUUAGUGGGGACGAUAAGGGCGGUACCCACAGAAUUAGCCCCCGCUAAGUUCCGGCCAGCCGCCGCCGUUA
RNAcentral lists this ribosomal RNA (447 nucleotides) under uncultured bacterium. Its description in RNAcentral is "partial 16S ribosomal RNA". It matches the Rfam family "Bacterial small subunit ribosomal RNA", at positions 29 to 523 of the family's 1533-position model. The record is from RNAcentral.